UGCUAUAUCCUGUACAUCCUUUUGACAGGAAGCAUCACACAACCUGGAUUCUAUGAAGCCCGCUACUUUAUUGACCCAAAUGACCAGAUAAAAGAUACUUUUAUAUCCUUUAAAGGUUGGAGCAAAGGGAUUGCUUUUGUCAACAGCUUCAAUAUUGGAAGAUUUUGGCCAUCCUUGGGGCCCCAAUGCACUCUUUAUGUUCCAGCGCCAAUCCUUCACUAUGGGGAAAAUGUUGUGGUAAUAUUCGAGCUUCAUACUUCCAACCCAAACCUGACGAUUGAGUUCGUUCAGCAGCCGGAUUUUACAUGCGGUCAAAUAGCACAGUGAUUAUGAUAUUCAGGAGAGAGGGUUCUCCAACUUGCUGGGAGCAAAAGCAGAGAACUAUAGUGAAAUUCCAAAAUAGAGGAUUUGGAGAGUACACGUAAGCUUGUUAGCCAAACCACUAUAAAUCAAUUUGUGUACUUUAUCUUUGCUUUUGUAUUUUGCACUUUAUUUGUAUUUUCUUUCACUACUAUUUUAUGUAUGGUUAUGUGUAGUGGUUAUAUCAUUAAAGGAAUGAAAAUCUGAGUUUCUCUUGAACUUGCCAAAUAAUGCUAAGUUCUUUAAAAAAAAUCAUUUUAAACUCUUGGUGCAUAAUUUUUGAAAAAAGAUUUCUGAUAUAUUUGCUAAAAUGAAAUAGAAUUGUAUUUUAUACUUCUCAAAGAGAAUUUAAAAUUGGUAUUUAAAGCUUCUGCAAAGUAAUUCACCCCCAUCUUGAUGUGUAGUACACUUUCACCAAAAUUUUCUAUUGCACUUCAGACUCAGACCAGACUACUUUUAUUAUCAUUAGAUUUAUCUUGUCGAGAUAUUCAAUUUAACUAUAAAUUUGCUGAAAUAAGAGUUUAGAUGAUCCUAAAUUUAAUUAUGAAAAUUUAUAAUUUAAAUAUGCAUCAUGAUUUAUACCUGAUCAAGUCAAUUUUGAUGAUAUAUCAUAAAUAUAUUCCAUAUUUUCAUUUCAUGGGCACAAACUAAUUACAAAUAUAUGGAGGGUACAAGACAAGUUAUACACAUAAAAUGAGCAUAAGGCCAGUUACAAAUAUUAAAUUUAUAUGAAUUUGAAGAAAUUCAUCAUAAUUACGCCCACACCAUCUCUUGUUAGGUGUAACCAGUGAAAGAAUUAAGAUUUAAAAUUAAAAAGAGAAGAAUAGAUUACCCCAAAUCAAGGGAGACAAAGCUUCUAUAAUAUAUAUAAUUCUAAGAAAAUUUAAGGAUAAAAUUUCAUAUCAUACGUAGCUAUAUGUAACUAUACUCAAAUGUAGAAGAGAGCCACCUAAAUCCCUCCGAUUGCACCACUGGAUAUGACUCCUAUUGCUCAGUGCUAAGCAAAACCUAAACCGUCAGCAUUUUCAAUGUACAGAAAAGAAAUUUAUAAUGAAUAGCAUCAACCAUUUAAAUGUAAGCAGUGCACAUCUUCAAUGGAGUAUGGAAGAUAAAGUUGUUAUGGUUCUAAAAAGAAGCAAUCAUAAAAGGUACAAAAUCAAAUUUUAAGA
Long non-coding RNA from Dendrobium catenatum, 1529 nucleotides. RefSeq lists it as uncharacterized. The transcript is spliced from 4 exons. NCBI's taxonomy places the organism in Eukaryota, Viridiplantae, Streptophyta, Magnoliopsida, Asparagales, Orchidaceae. The record is from RefSeq and is a predicted model, not a curated record.